CUUUUACUUUUUUUGUUUCCCACUAAAUCUUUGAAAUCUGGUGUGUCUUUUUACUGUUACAGCACGUCUUAAUUCAGACCAGUCACAUUCGAGCACUCAAGAUAUGACAGCUGGCUGCCAUAUUGGACACACAAGGAUGGAUAUUUGAUAUUAGGAAAUUGUUAUUUUUCAGGUGUGUUAAUGAUAUUGUGGUUGUUUCUCUAAAAACUCCUGUCCUUUGGGUAUGUUGAAAUACUUAAGGAUGAAAUGAUACAAUGAAACUUGGUUCUGCCAGAGGAAAAAUUUUCCCUCUUCCCUUUUGGGACUGUGCUUGGAGGUCCUGAAAAUUAAAUUGACAAAACACAGGUGAACAGGAAGAAAGCAAAGUGUAUUCACACCCUCUGGCGGGUACAGAAGACGUGCACGCAGUAAUCAGAGGUAGGGGUAAUAGGAGAAAGGGAGGGAGGGGAAAGAGAAGACCAAUCGGUUUCUUUAGGAAAGAGAAGAGGGUGUUUAGGGGAACAAGCAGGAGGUAAGUUUGUGAUCAUAUUUGCUAAGCAGGUGACUCGCACGUCUUGGGUUUAAAACGAAGAAUUCUGUGGGUCUGGGCAGCCGAGCGUCGCACUAUGGGAACCAGGAAGUUCGCGCAGUGUUUGCCUUCCGCGAUAAAACGGCGAUUUCGGUCCUUCGAAGGUUUUUACGAGGUUCCGCGCGCGGGGCCGAGGCGAGGACUUUAGGGCCGAGACUAGGACUUUAGCUCCGAGCUCCUCUGCGGGGAAAGGCGGGAGCUCAAGCCGGGCGACACCCGCCGCGAGCGAGGGGUGACUCUCGGCGUUCCCUGCCCGGCCGGCCCCCCGCGAACCCGCCCCACCGCGCCGGGCGGAGCCAACCUCCGCCCUGCGACCCCCGACCCCGCGUACCGCCCCUCCGCCGCCGGGCGCGGUUUCCCGGGGACGCAUUUCUCGCCGCACCGCGGGUUGCCCGGACCUCCCUGGCGGAGCACCUUCCGGCGGACCCAGCGCGGAGCUCUGAGCUCGGCUGCGGUCCGGCGGCAACCCAGGUGUGGCGGCCUCAGGACGCGGCGCGAGCACAGGAACCGCACCCCGCGGGACCCCGGCCGCACCCCCGGAGCUCCAGGCCGCCUCGCCCCGCCCCCGGCUCCGAAGGGCGUAGCUGCGUCGGGAGGAGCCUCAGCCUGGCUCGGGCGCUCAGGUGGCCCGGGUCCGCCCAAGCAACCGGCACUGGGGCUUCAGUUCCUGGCCUGCACCAGCUGACAUCCUUAGUGUCCACAUUUGUGACCAUCGGGCAGCACUGGAGCGGCCUCGAGGAGGGUCGGCUCCUACACCUGCGCUCCGUUGGCCGCGGCUGAG
Molecule: long non-coding RNA, 1349 nt
Filed under: Delphinapterus leucas (beluga whale)
Lineage: Eukaryota; Metazoa; Chordata; Mammalia; Artiodactyla; Monodontidae
Description: lncRNA (ENSDLEG00000008579.1)
Source: RNAcentral